AUUGAACGCUGGCGGCAUGCCUUACACAUGCAAGUCGAACGGCAGCACGGGAGCAAUCCUGGUGGCGAGUGGCGAACGGGUGAGUAAAGUAUCGGAACGUGCCCAGUCGUGGGGGAUAACGUAGCGAAAGUUACGCUAAUACCGCAUACGAUCUAUGGAUGAAAGCGGGGGAUCGCAAGACCACGCGCGAUUGGAGCGGCCGAUAGCAGAUUAGGUAGUUGGUGGGGUAAAGGCUCACCAAGCCGACGAUCUGUAGCUGGUCUGAGAGGACGACCAGCCACACUGGGACUGAGACACGGCCCAGACUCCUACGGGAGGCAGCAGUGGGGAAUUUUGGACAAUGGGCGAAAGCCUGAUCCAGCCAUGCCGCGUGCAGGAUGAAGGCCUUCGGGUUGUAAACUGCUUUUGUACGGAACGAAAAGGUUUGGCCUAAUAAGCUGAGCUCAUGACGGUACCGUAGGAAUAAGCACCGGCUAACUACGUGCCAGCAGCCGCCGCCG
This 500-nucleotide ribosomal RNA is filed under the name uncultured bacterium. RNAcentral's name for it is "partial 16S ribosomal RNA". It matches the Rfam family "Bacterial small subunit ribosomal RNA", at positions 29 to 523 of the family's 1533-position model. The record is from RNAcentral.